ACAGAUAUAAGUUAAACAUUAACUAUUGGUCUUCAAAACCAAAAAUUUUAAUCUGUA
RNAcentral lists this transfer RNA (57 nucleotides) under Steinernema carpocapsae. RNAcentral's name for it is "tRNA-Trp". Lineage: Eukaryota; Metazoa; Nematoda; Chromadorea; Rhabditida; Steinernematidae. The record is from RNAcentral.